Molecule: ribosomal RNA, 425 nt
Filed under: uncultured bacterium
Lineage: Bacteria
Description: partial 16S ribosomal RNA
Rfam family: Bacterial small subunit ribosomal RNA
Source: RNAcentral
GUGGGGAAUAUUGGACAAUGGGCGAAAGCCUGAUCCAGCCAUGCCGCGUGAGUGAUGAAGGCCCUAGGGUUGUAAAGCUCUUUCACCGGUGAAGAUAAUGACGGUAACCGGAGAAGAAGCCCCGGCUAACUUCGUGCCAGCAGCCGCGGUAAUACGAAGGGGGCUAGCGUUGUUCGGAAUUACUGGGCGUAAAGCGCACGUAGGCGGACUAUUAAGUCAGGGGUGAAAUCCCAGAGCUCAACUCUGGAACUGCCUUUGAUACUGGGUACCUAGAGUAUGGAAGAGGUAAGUGGAAUUCCGAGUGUAGAGGUGAAAUUCGUAGAUAUUCGGAGGAACACCAGUGGCGAAGGCGGCUUACUGGUCCAUUACUGACGCUGAGGUGCGAAAGCGUGGGGAGCAAACAGGAUUAGAAACCCUUGUAGUCC